RNAcentral lists this ribosomal RNA (85 nucleotides) under Bikinia pellegrinii. RNAcentral describes it as "partial 28S ribosomal RNA". It matches the Rfam family "Eukaryotic large subunit ribosomal RNA", at positions 1 to 82 of the family's 3401-position model. Lineage: Eukaryota; Viridiplantae; Streptophyta; Magnoliopsida; Fabales; Fabaceae. The record is from RNAcentral.
ACGCUACCUCAGCUCAGGCGGGGCUACCCAUUAAGCUUAAGCAUAUCAAUAAGCGGAGGAAAAGAAACUAACAAAGAUUCCCCUA